AUUGAACGCUGGCGGCAUGCCUUACACAUGCAAGUCGAACGGUAACAGGUCUUCGGAUGCUGACGAGUGGCGAACGGGUGAGUAAUACAUCGGAACGUGCCCGAUCGUGGGGGAUAACGAAGCGAAAGCUUUGCUAAUGCCGCAUACGAUCUACGGAUGAAAGCAGGGGACCGCAAGGCCUUGCGCGGACGGAGCGGCCGAUGGCAGAUUAGGUAGUUGGUGGGAUAAAAGCUUACCAAGCCGACGAUCUGUAGCUGGUCUGAGAGGACGACCAGCCACACUGGGACGGAGACACGGCCCAGACUCCUACGGGAGGCAGCAGUUGGGAAUUUUGGACAAUGGGCGCAAGGCUGAUCCAGCCAUGCCGCGUGCAGGAUGAAGGCCUUCGGGUUGUAAACUGCUUUCGUACGGAACGAAAAGACUCUGGUUAAUACCUGGGGUUCAUGACGGUACCGUAAGAAUAAGCACCGGCUAACUACGUGCCAGCCGCCGCGGUAA
This 498-nucleotide ribosomal RNA is filed under the name uncultured bacterium. RNAcentral's name for it is "partial 16S ribosomal RNA". It matches the Rfam family "Bacterial small subunit ribosomal RNA", at positions 30 to 523 of the family's 1533-position model. The record is from RNAcentral.